UACGGAGGGUGCAAGCGUUAUCCGGAUUCACUGGGUUUAAAGGGUGCGUAGGAGGGCAGGUAAGUCAGUGGUGAAAUCCCCGAGCUUAACUUGGGAACUGCCGUUGAUACUAUCUGUCUUGAAUACCGUGGAGGUGUGCGGAAUAUGUCAUGUAGCGGUGAAAUGCUUAGAUAUGACAUAGAACACCAAUUGCGAAGGCAGCUCGCUACACGAAUAUUGACUCUGAGGCACGAAAGCGUGGGGAUCAAACAGG
This 253-nucleotide ribosomal RNA is filed under the name uncultured bacterium. Its description in RNAcentral is "partial 16S ribosomal RNA". It matches the Rfam family "Bacterial small subunit ribosomal RNA", at positions 524 to 776 of the family's 1533-position model. The record is from RNAcentral.